RNAcentral lists this long non-coding RNA (1173 nucleotides) under Populus trichocarpa (black cottonwood). Its description in RNAcentral is "long non-coding RNA (PTRI_LNC001577)". Lineage: Eukaryota; Viridiplantae; Streptophyta; Magnoliopsida; Malpighiales; Salicaceae. The record is from RNAcentral.
GGCCGGUGUCUACUCUGAGACCGCUGAGUAUUCAGAGACUGCCACAUGUUAUGAUGCUCCACCUCCUGCUGUCCCAGAUGUUGAUUACAGAAAAGAAGAGAAGCAUCACAAGCAUCUUGAGCACGUUGGUGAGCUUGGAACUGCUGCCGCUGGUGCUUUUUCCAUGGUACAAUGUUUUGUCAGUUGUCACUCGCUAAUUUAAAUUCUGUAUGUUACUACACACACACACACACACACACACACACACACACACACACAUAUAUUCAUGUUAAUAUAUUUUUUAAGGUAUUCUUUUAUUUCAUGUAAUAAUCAAUCUUUUUAAAAAACACCUGUUUUCAAUCAUUGUUUUUUUAGAAUGGUUAUUGUUAUACGUUUUUUUUUUUUUUUAACAAAAAAGGGUAAGUUGGUGGAUUGUGUAUAGAAGUGUGUGUGUGUAUAAUUGAUGUGGGAUUCUCUCAUUUUAAAAAUUUCAAUGCAAGAGCUACAAACAAAUAACAUGUGUGUAUAUAAUUUUUACUGAUACUAUUUAUAGUCUAAUAAUUAUGUUUUUCAAAAUUCUUGAUUUUUUUAUAUUUUUAAAUUGUUUUGAGCUGCUAAAUCAAAAAUAAAUCUUAAAAAAUAAAAAAUAUUAUUUUAAUAUAUUUUAUACAAAAAAAAAAAAAACAAACAGCCUUGCUUCAAAAUCUUUAUUCAAUUAUUUUUCAUAACUCGGGACAAAUUAUUUUUCUGAACACCUGUAAAAAGAUACCAGGCCUAUAUAUCAAUCCUUGUUUUUAUAAAACAAUUAUUUUUUCUCUCUGUUUUUUUUUCUUUAAUGAAAGUUCAAGAAAAUCAGCAAGCCAGCAAGGAAUCGUUUUUUUUUAUUCCAUAUUUAUUUGUUGCUUUAAUAAUUUAGCAUGAGAAGCACGAGUCAAAGAAAGACCCAGAGCAUGCACAAAGGCACAAGAUAGAGGAGGAGAUUGCCGCGGCAGCUGCAGUUGGAUCCGGUGGAUUUGUAUUCCAUGAGCAUCAUGACAAGAAAGAAACCAAGAAAGAGGAAGAAGAGGCUAACGGAAAGAAGCACCACCGCUUCUAAUUGUUUUAAUUAAUUAAUCAAUCUUGUGUGUUACAGGCCUUAAUCUUGGUUAAGUAACUAAUCACUAUAGUUAUACAUCACCCCUCCUAAAUAAUACC